GAAAUGCGAUAAUUAAUGUGAAUUGCAGAAUUCAGUGAAUCAUCGAGUCUUUGAACGCACAUUGCGCCCCCUGGUAUUCCGGGGGGCAUGCCUGUCCGAGCGUCAUUGCUGCCCUCUAGCACGGCUUGUGUGUUGGGCUUCCGUCCCUGGCAACGGGGACGGGCCCAAAAGGCAGUGGCGGCACCAUGUCUGGUCCUCGAGCGUAUGGGGCUUUGUCACCCGCUCCCGUAGGUCCAGCUGGCAGCUAGCCUCGCAACCAAUCUUUUUAACCAGGUUGACCUCGGAUCAGGUAGGGAUAUCCGCUGAACUUAAGC
Molecule: unclassified non-coding RNA, 314 nt
Filed under: plant metagenome
Description: partial contains 5.8S ribosomal RNA, internal transcribed spacer 2, and large subunit ribosomal RNA
Rfam family: 5.8S ribosomal RNA (bases 1-105)
Source: RNAcentral